UGGGGAAUAUUGGACAAUGGGCGCAAGCCUGAUCCAGCCAUGCCGCGUGUGUGAAGAAGGCCUUUUGGUUGUAAAGCACUUUAAGCGAGGAGGAGGCUACUUGGAUUAAUACUCUAGGAUAGUGGACGUUACUCGCAGAAUAAGCACCGGCUAACUCUGUGCCAGCAGCCGCGGUAAUACAGAGGGUGCGAGCGUUAAUCGGAUUUACUGGGCGUAAAGCGUGCGUAGGCGGCUUUUUAAGUCGGAUGUGAAAUCCCUGAGCUUAACUUAGGAAUUGCAUUCGAUACUGGGAAGCUAGAGUAUGGGAGAGGAUGGUAGAAUUCCAGGUGUAGCGGUGAAAUGCGUAGAGAUCUGGAGAAAUACCGAUGGCGAAGGCAGCCAUCUGGCCUAAUACUGACGCUGAGGUACGAAAGCAUGGGGAGCAAACAGG
This 430-nucleotide ribosomal RNA is filed under the name bacterium. RNAcentral describes it as "partial 16S ribosomal RNA". It matches the Rfam family "Bacterial small subunit ribosomal RNA", at positions 355 to 776 of the family's 1533-position model. The record is from RNAcentral.